RNAcentral lists this ribosomal RNA (422 nucleotides) under uncultured Mucilaginibacter sp. Its description in RNAcentral is "bacterial SSU rRNA". It matches the Rfam family "Bacterial small subunit ribosomal RNA", at positions 355 to 774 of the family's 1533-position model. The record is from RNAcentral. Lineage: Bacteria; Pseudomonadati; Bacteroidota; Sphingobacteriia; Sphingobacteriales; Sphingobacteriaceae.
UAAGGAAUAUUGGUCAAUGGGCGGAAGCCUGAACCAGCCAUGCCGCGUGCAGGAAGACGGCCCUACGGGUUGUAAACUGCUUUUAUACCGGAAUAAACCUUUGGUCGUGACCGAAGCUGAAUGUACGGUAAGAAUAAGGAUCGGCUAACUCCGUGCCAGCAGCCGCGGUAAUACGGAGGAUCCAAGCGUUAUCCGGAUUUAUUGGGUUUAAAGGGUGCGUAGGUGGCCUGUUAAGUCAGGGGUGAAAGACGGUAGCUUAACUAUCGCAGUGCCUUUGAUACUGACGGGCUUGAAUACACUAGAGGUAGGCGGAAUGUGACAAGUAGCGGUGAAAUGCAUAGAUAUGUCACAGAACACCAAUUGCGAAGGCAGCUUACUAUGGUGUUAUUGACACUGAGGCACGAAAGCGUGGGGAUCAAACA